This 539-nucleotide long non-coding RNA is filed under the name Vigna radiata. RNAcentral's name for it is "long non-coding RNA (VRAD_LNC001124)". The record is from RNAcentral. Lineage: Eukaryota; Viridiplantae; Streptophyta; Magnoliopsida; Fabales; Fabaceae.
GAACUCCAUCUGAAAUUGUCUGUUAUGUGUAAUGUGAGCAUAAUGCAUUAAAGUUAAAAACUUUUCUGGAAGAAAUGUUUAAGAAAGAAGAGAAAGGUUAUCUACACGCAUAAUAUUAGACCGGAGUAACAUUCCGCAAAUUGGAUCAAUCACCAUUUUGGAGAGGCCCAAUGGAGCUGCCGUUAAUAUCAGACAGAGUUUCGCAAAGCCCGUUAACGCCCAACCUCCUCGUAAAGAUUCCCUUCUUCCUCUCACAACAACAGCAACGACCAUGGUCGCAAAGCCCAAGCGAUCUUAGCCACAUUGACGCCAUCGACAAUAUUUCAGGAAACUGACCUAGGUUCUACCUAUCUUUUAUGGAUGGUGGAAAGUUUAACGGAAAAAAAGAAUUGAAUUUUUUUUUGUAGAAGAAGAAGAUGGAUGGUAAUUAUGGUGAAGGAUUAUGGAGAAGGGAAAUUUCGAGAAGAAACCUUAGUAAAAGCUAAUUGUUCCAAAAGACAUGGAAAGAGAAAAAGCUGAAAGUUGUAUAAUAGUUUGAA